This 502-nucleotide ribosomal RNA is filed under the name uncultured bacterium. RNAcentral describes it as "partial 16S ribosomal RNA". It matches the Rfam family "Bacterial small subunit ribosomal RNA", at positions 28 to 523 of the family's 1533-position model. The record is from RNAcentral.
GAUGAACGCUAGCGGCAGGCCUAACACAUGCAAGUCGAGGGGCAGCACAGAAACAGCAAUGUUUUGGUGGCGACCGGCGGACGGGUGCGUAACGCGUAUGCAACCUACCUUUAACAGGGGGAUAACGGAGGGAAAUUUCCACUAAUACCCCAUAACAUCGAUCAAGGCAUCUUGAUUGGUUGAAAACUCCGGUGGUUAAAGAUGGGCAUGCGUUGUAUUAGGUAGUUGGUGAGGUAAUGGCUCACCAAGCCUACGAUACAUAGGGGGACUGAGAGGGUAGCCCCCCACAAGGGUACUGGGACACGGACCAGACUCCUACGGGAGGCAGCAGUGAGGAAUAUUGGUCAAUAGGGGCAACCCUGAACCAGCCAUGCCGCGUGCAGGAAGACGGCUAUAUGAGUUGUAAACUGCUUUUAAACAGGGAUAAAGCACAGUAUGUAUACUGUGUUGAAGGUACUGUAAGAAUAAGGAUCGGCUAACUCCGUGCCAGCCGCCGCGGUAA